AGCAGUAGCCACGGUAAUACGAAGGGGGCUAGCGUUGUUCGGAUUUACUGGGCGUAAAGCGCACGUAGGCGGGCUUUUAAGUCAGGGGUGAAAUCCCGGGGCUCAACCCCGGAACUGCCUUUGAUACUGGAAGUCUUGAGUAUGGAAGAGGUGAGUGGAAUUCCGAGUGUAGAGGUGAAAUUCGUAGAUAUUCGGAGGAACACCAGUGGCGAAGGCGGCUCACUGGUCCAUUACUGACGCUGAGGUGCGAAAGCGUGGGGAGCAAACAGGAUUAGAUACCCCGGUAGUCCCUGUCUCUUAUAA
Molecule: ribosomal RNA, 303 nt
Filed under: uncultured bacterium
Lineage: Bacteria
Description: partial 16S ribosomal RNA
Rfam family: Bacterial small subunit ribosomal RNA
Source: RNAcentral